UUCGGCUCUCGCUGGGCUCUGUCUUCUCCACCAGAAGAAUGACCUCAGACCGAACAUGGGAAGAUGCCUGGCAGAUGUGCCGAGGACUGAAAAUGCAAAGCGAACAAGGUAAUCCGAGUUAUCUGAGAAAAAGAGCUUGAAGUGUUCAGCCAGAGAUGAGACGAUCAUCCGAAAGAAACAAGGAGGAGCAGACACCUGCCUUGGUUGGGCAUUGAAUUGGACGAUAGGUCUGAGGAAGAGCUACACUGGUUGAUUAUUGCAGGAAUGAAAGGCACUCUGACCUUGUGGACCGACCGCCUCGCAGCUUUCAAUGCUGCCCAUUAUACCGAAGGCAGGCAACUCCUGGAGAGAGGCGGAAUCUACAGGAGAGCUGCUCCCUGGGCAACUUGCCAGAAAAGGCUUCAUCAGCUGCAGUUCAGACAUGGCCAGACAGCUCAGGCAGCAAAGGAAACAGCUGGGGGGUGGGGGGUGGAAACAGAGUAUAUAAAAAUAUUGUUAGCAGGCAGUCUAAAGAGCUCUCCGGCAUCUAUGCUUUAGAGCGCCUUUGCGAAUGUGGCCCCGCGUCAUCUGCUUGAACUGAAGGUCCACCUGGGAAGUUUUGCUGAGGAAGGAAGCAGUAACCAAUGUAAGUGCAGCUACCAAUUUCCUAAAAUAGGCUGUCCCGCCCUCGCAAGGGUUUAUGACAAUACUCCUGUGCGAACAGGAAUGUAAAGUGAUUUUCUAGAAAAAGUAGGUCGGGAUAUUGAGUUACAACAAUGGCUCUAGAGUGUAAAUUAUUCAUGACAAGUCUGGUUGGAUUCUUUUAGAAUUUAUGGUUAACGCAUGGAUUAGAGAGCAACUCAGGAUGAAAACAACCUGCCGUCAUCUUCAAGUUCUACAGUCCAGGGAGGCGUUGUUUCAAAUCAGCCGGCAUGCCUUUGCAUGGCUCCUAGUUCUAGUCACCAGGGUUUUAUUGAGUGUUUAUUAUGUGCCCAAGCAUUGUUGGGAAAUAAGUGACGUGUGAAGGGUCUGUAUGCAUCAGUGAGAUUGGUUGACCAACCAGACACAGAAAUGGCACCCUUUCCUUUGUCAUUCUGUUUUAUUCACUGAGGGCCUGUAUGAGUGAGGCACCGUGUUACAGCGGCUUUACAUUCUGACUCUCAUUAAAGUCUUAGGGUAACUUUCAGGU
Panthera uncia (snow leopard) is the source of this 1168-nucleotide long non-coding RNA. RefSeq lists it as uncharacterized. NCBI's taxonomy places the organism in Eukaryota, Metazoa, Chordata, Mammalia, Carnivora, Felidae. The record is from RefSeq and is a predicted model, not a curated record. The transcript has 3 exons.